GCCCCCGUAGCGCAACGGAUAGCGCAUCGGCCUUCUAAUCCGACGGUUGCAGGUUCGAGUCCUGCCGGGGGCG
This 73-nucleotide transfer RNA is filed under the name Actinomycetospora succinea. Its description in RNAcentral is "tRNA-Arg". It matches the Rfam family "tRNA". From Rfam's summary of the family: Transfer RNA (tRNA) molecules are approximately 80 nucleotides in length. Their secondary structure includes four short double-helical elements and three loops (D, anti-codon, and T loops). The record is from RNAcentral. Lineage: Bacteria; Bacillati; Actinomycetota; Actinomycetes; Pseudonocardiales; Pseudonocardiaceae. RNAcentral also lists the same sequence under 1 other name.